RNAcentral lists this long non-coding RNA (239 nucleotides) under Homo sapiens (human). RNAcentral describes it as "LNC_000608". Lineage: Eukaryota; Metazoa; Chordata; Mammalia; Primates; Hominidae. The record is from RNAcentral.
CGGGGGGUGUGAGAAGGCAAGCGCAAAGAGAACCUUCCUCCGUUUCUACUCAUCGGAUCCUGACGCUGAGUCCUCUGAGCUGGGGGGAGUACUGGCUAGUUCUUCUUCUUCAGAGUCCUCGCUCCUCCUCCUCUUCUUUUUGCUCUUGUUCUCUCCCGAAGAGCUCUCAUCACUAGACACAAACUCUUUGCUCUUGAAGCUCUCGCUUAGCUGCCUUGAGGACGACUUGGAUGAUGAGC